AACAAGCUCCCCAAGUGAUUCUGGUACAGGUGGUCCAAGGACCACACUGUGAGAAAUGCAGCUCUGGAACGUGCCGUGAACUCUGCUAACUACAGAAGCCUGCCCGCUCAUUGAUUCCUUCAGCAAACAGCUAUCAUAAACAGUGCUGCUGUGAUCAUUCUUGUUCAGGCUUCCUGGUGCACAUGAGAAAAAGUUUCUCUAGAGGAAAACUGCUUGGCCAUAAGGAACACCAAUUUUGACAGUGGCCCGGAAUGAGAGUGCCUUUUUGGAAGCCUUGGCGUCCAGCAGAGAAAUGCCAGCACAUCUCUGGAGAACAAAACAAAACAAAACAAAAUCAGGAUUGGAUGCACUGAAGAGCUUAAGAAGAGCAAUUUAAUUUUACCCACAUCACCCCUCCCCAAGGUAGCACACCUCAGUGCAAAGAAAGACCUUCUCUGCCGGCGAUUUCACCCACCAGGGAAAGUGAGAGCAUGUGAGCGAGCUCCUGGCUUUCCCAGCUGUGCCGGAGGCUGCCAAAGAGACCCACUCCUUCCUGGCCCCGCCAGAAUACUGAGGGGUGCCGCAUGAUGGGGGAGGAGACGGACUCUGGAAGAACAGCAGCCUGGGCUCUCUGAGGGCAUCAAAGAAACGCAGAUCCUGCUGACUGCUUCUCCAGCUCCAUCAGGAAGCCUGCCCACAAGUCACUGGGGACGUCUUGCCUGCAGAUCCAUACAGAUACGGUAGAAAGGGCAACAUCUUUUACCCAAAUGGAAAAAACACUGGACUUCAGUCUGAAAACAAAGGGUUGAUUCUGACCUAAGGCAAGCCAGCGACGACACCUGUGAAAUGAGAACUAACUAUUUUCCUAUAGGAAAGGAAUUUUCCUCUUUAUUUCAACACAGCAGAGCAGAAUGCUUCUAGAUCAAU
This 906-nucleotide long non-coding RNA is filed under the name Equus asinus (donkey). RNAcentral's name for it is "lncRNA (ENSEASG00005025482.1)". The record is from RNAcentral. Lineage: Eukaryota; Metazoa; Chordata; Mammalia; Perissodactyla; Equidae.